UAUUUUUUCACUGUGUGAUUGAACUACCAAUUCAAAAAAAGUUUAAGAAAUAAAAACUCAACCUGUCUUUACCAUGUCACAAAUGAAAGAGGCCCAUAGAAAUGUGCUAUUGUCUGUCUUAGCAUUCCACCAAGGCCAGGGUCCCCAGGGCCCAGGAAGAAGGCCCACAGUUUCCUUUCAAGGCUGGCCCCAGGAUGGCUUAGUCAGGAAGUCCCUUCCAGGUCUGACUUCAUUCUCUCCUGCGGAAACAGCCAGCGCUGCAUCCCUAGUCCACGUAGCUAUCCAUGGGUAUCUUCAAGUCCCUCUGGGCCUUCCUGGGUUCGCUGGGUAAGUCUAACCCCUACAUCCUCCCCCUCGGCGAACUUGGAAUGGGUUGGGGUUACUCAGUGGGCAACAGGCCCAUUGGUUCUUGUAACCCACCAGGGAAAGGGAGAUACAAAGGGAAGAAAAGAGAGGCUAGAAAGCAGAGGCUUGCUGGCCAGCCUCUCCUCACCCUCUUCUGUGCACAGCCGUCUCCACUGUGUCCACCUGCCCCGUCCCUUCCCCCCUACACACAUAGAACGUCUCUGAAUCUCUCUCCUGCUCCCUCCCUUGUCCUCCAUGGCCUCGUCCUCUCCCUGGUCCUCCCAGGUGAGUGCCCACGCCUGCUGUCACCAUGACAACCAUUCACCACAAGCAGAUGCUGCAGGAGCACGUGUCUCUGGAGCUCUCCAGCUUCACCACCCACGUGAAGACCUUCUCCCAGACAACCAAGAUCGUGGGAGGCAAGCAGAGCGGGGAGGGCUGGGGCGAUCAGGAAGGGGCAGACUUUCUUCCUCCAGUCUUUGCAACUCCAGGGCCCCUCAGGAGCCCAAGAUAGCAACAGUAACCCUCUCCCAACCUGUGCUUCUAAUCUGUGCUUUGAUGAAGCUUCAGCUGGCCAGAUGUUCACCCACAGAUCAGAUCUCCAGGAAAACAGCUUAGGAAAAAUCAAUCACAUGGAUGUGUGUGAGUGAUUGAUGGACUCUUAAUUGCUUCGUGGAGAUCAGAGCCAUAGGCAAGUGCGUGUGUCUCCGGUGGUAGAAUUGCAGGCAUGGAGGAAGGGAGGUAGCUACCUUAAUUACACAUGAGUAAUGCUGACCCCGCUCCACUUAAGAAAUAGCAGACUUGGAGCUGCCAGUGGAGAGAGAGUGAACACAUGAACAAGUGACCUAAGCUUCCAGGCUCUCCACCCUUGGGGCCCAGACUUGGGGGCUGGCAGAUCCAAGGGAAAGCUGAGAUGUGGUCUCAGAGCAGAACAGACGGUUUUAGUCCUGUCUCCAGAGGCAUGUGAUUAAAAGAUGGCCAGGGGCCAGACUAUUGAAUACCUGUCUUCCCGGUCCUUGCGCCUCCCUCAGAGUCCUCUUUGCACAAAGGCAGAUGAACGCUCUUUACCAAGCCCUCGAGGUCAGAGAGGCAGAGCGAGUGGAGCAGCCAGGGCUCAAGACCAGAAGUUGCAAACUCAAGCGAUUCUAGUAAUGGUUCUCAGCCCUGGCUGCACGUCAGAGUCAUCUCACGGUGGCGAGCAGGGGGGAGGGGGGAAAAAGUAGCGAUACUGGAGACUCCCCUUAGACUGUUAGAUGUUGCUUUGUUGUUGCUGUUUGUUUGUUUGUUUUUAAAGCUCUCCAGGGAUCCUAAUGUGCAGCCAGAGUCGAAAUCCACUAGCCCACAGGGUCCGGGCGGGGAACACAAAUGCAGGAAGAAGACUGAGAUGGACUGCAGAGCGCAUACCUCAUCUAAAGGGGCAGCCACUGUUCACCUCCCACAGACUGUCGCCCUAUGGGAAUACAAAUCCAGUUUUGAGAAUCCAGAAAUCUGAAUUUUUAGGUGAAAUCUCUCAAUUUAUAGAUGUAGAGCCACUUUUUGUUUAAACAUUGUAGAGGUCAAAUAAAACACAUCAGCAGGCCAAGUGCAGCCUGCGCACAGCUUGUGGGAGACCUCUGAUUGCGAUUUAAAAGCAGGCCACGCGGCUCCCUAACACACUGUUCUCAUCCCAGUCCUUCAGAUUAGUGAGGAUAAUAAAGGCACCUACCUCACUGGGAUGUUGUGAGGAUUAAAUAAAACAAUCUCGGAAAUGUGCUUAGCACAGUUCCUGAUUCCAGGAAUGCACUCUCGGAAUCACAGCCAUUGUUAUUAACUGUUACCUCUCCAGCCAACGAGGUUGCCUGUAAUCUAUACGGAAGAAACGACGUUUGUUUUCCAAAUACAAAAUUAUAUUACCUGGAUCGAAUAUGCUCUUUCAGAUAAGGAGAUCCGAUACAUAGCCCCCCUGGAGUGGGAAGGAGAAUUCACCACGCCCAAGGUAAUAAAUGCUGACCCCACCGAAAAGCAGGGAGAAGGCCUCCCAAGCAGCAGCAGACUCAAGGCUCUCUUAAUGCUCCUAGGGGAGCAGGAUUUCCAGAAGAGAAGCCCACGAGACUAGGAAAAAAACAAAGAGAACUCUCCUUUUUUAAAAAAAGAAAUAUAUAUUAGGACUCAGGGCGUGGCCCCAUAAAGGUGAUUGACCAUUGAGGGGUGGGAGGGGAGCUGGCUCCCCCUAGUGGUUGAAAUUUGCCAUAACACAAUGACCCAUUGUCUGUAAGGUCCUCCUUUCUUAGCCAAAGCCGGUCGUGCCCUCGCUGACCUAAAAUGCUCCAUUGUGCCCUCAAGGAAAGGUCAGCCCUCCAACUCCGGGCUGAGCUCCGCCUGGAGCCCAUUCUGACCUCUCGACUGCCGCCACAGAGCAAGUCGUGUCGAGGAAGUCCUCGACCACUGUUGAGUUCUUCAACUUGGAUGCCGGAGCUCCGACGUCCCUGCGGGACGAGAGCGCCCCGGAGUUCGUGGAGAAGCCUCAGCCCGUCACCGCAUCCGAGGGCGUGUCGUUCCCCGCGUCUCCCCAGGCCCCUGGGUGCUUCCCUUUCUUCUCCAGUGCCCCAGCCGCCACCACCACCACCACCCCUGGCCCCCAAUACACAAACACUGUCAGAGCCAGGCUAAGGGUCCCCUCCUCUGCCCGGGGCAGGGGCGAGAUCGCUGGGAAGAGGCAGGGAGCAGGCAGAAGGUGCAGCCGGGAGGCUAAGACGCGACACGCGUCCUGUGCACACAGCAGGGGAUAAAGCCGUGUUCCCAGCCCGGGUGCAGGGAACCCCAAACCCCACAUCUCCUGGAAGAAGGAGAGCGGCAUCCCCAUCAAGGAGUCCGCCAACAUCUUCUACGACAGCAUUAACAAGGAACACGUGCUGAAGGUGCAGGGACCCGAGCCCGAGGUCCAGUUACCCAUGAGGCCAGAGGCAGGGACUCCUGGGGUAGGUCGCCGGUCUCUCACGGACAAGAGACCCACAAUGACGCUCCAAGAAGUGGGAGAUGGGCAAAGAGGCUUCAUUGCCCUAGGGAGAGACAGGAUAAGAGAGGCCGAGUCAGGAGCUGGGGUGUUGCCAGAGGCCGGGCCUGGGGAGGUGGGGGACGACGCCAAAAUUAGGGGCGGGGCAAGGCAGAGCUAGGGCAAAACCAGCACAAGGAGGGGGCAGGACCAAAUGAAAGAGAAGGAGGGGUUCCAGAAGGUGAGUGAGCCAAAAGGGAAGGUGAGACCCAAGCUAUGGGCGUGGCUAGAAAGGGGCGGGACCCUUGGUGGGUGGAGCGUGGCCGAGUUGGGGCUGGGCCGGAACGGAGGAGAGGCUGGUCAUAAAAUAAGGAUGAGGGUCAGGGUUCCUCUUCCAGGGAGCCUUCCAGAAGAGUGUCGUCAAGGGCCAAUCAUCCUUAGGUCUAACCAGCUUCUGCAACCUCCGGCUCCAGACCCUUUGAGGAAAGGGAGAGAUGGGGUCACUGGGGAGAUGGGGUCACUGGGACCCUGGGACCUUACUCCUGUCCCAAUCCUGCCCCAAAUUCCUGUUGUGAAAGGCAGAGUCUCCCCUCUCCCAAACAGACAGGAAGUUGGUUCCUUCUCUUCCAAAGACCCAUUGUUGGACCCUCAGCGCCCCACAGCACACACAAGCUGCCCUGGAGUCCCCCUACUGGCCAUCCCCUAUACAAGUUCAUUCAUUCCAGAGUCCACUGGUCUGUAAGCACCAUGCUACAGGCACCAAGACAGCGAUAGUCACCACCAUUCCCUCAGGGGCUCAGCCCCGCACCUGGCAUGGAGGAGUAAAUACGUGUUAAACGAAGGAGUAUUCAGCCCAGUGCCAGAAACUGCAGCUAGAGUUACCACUCGGAGGAAGUCCCUGUCUUCCAGAAGCUCACAGCCAAGGGGGAGAAUCCAAUGCACAAUCAGGCUACAAACAGACACCCCCACACUGACUGCUACCUGGUUCCUCCACAUCGUAGAGGCUGCUCAGUCUUCCACACAGACGCCCACACUCAGCUCCCCCCAUCCCCCAAAAAUG
RNAcentral lists this long non-coding RNA (4376 nucleotides) under Equus asinus (donkey). Its description in RNAcentral is "lncRNA (ENSEASG00005028241.1)". The record is from RNAcentral. Lineage: Eukaryota; Metazoa; Chordata; Mammalia; Perissodactyla; Equidae.